RNAcentral lists this ribosomal RNA (458 nucleotides) under uncultured bacterium. RNAcentral's name for it is "bacterial SSU rRNA". It matches the Rfam family "Bacterial small subunit ribosomal RNA", at positions 339 to 794 of the family's 1533-position model. The record is from RNAcentral.
CUACGGGAGGCAGCAGUGAGGAAUAUUGCGCAAUGGGCGAAAGCCUGACGCAGCAACGCCGCGUGGAGGAUGAAGGUGGUUUCCAUUGUAAACUCCUGUAGGGAGGGACGAACAAGCUGGUUUCGCCGGCUUUGACGGUACCUCCAAAGUAAGCACCGGCUAACUCCGUGCCAGCAGCCGCGGUAAUACGGAGGGUGCAAGCGUUGUCCGGAUUUACUGGGUGUAAAGGGCGUGUAGGCGGGGGAAUGUGUCGGGAGUGAAAUCGUACGGCUUAACCGUAUCAAUGGCUUCCGAAACUGUUUCUCUUGAAUGCUGCAGAGGCAGAUGGAAUUCCAGGUGUAGCGGUGGAAUGCGUAGAUAUCUGGAAGAACACCAGUGGCGAAGGCGGUCUGCUGGGCAGUGAUUGACGCUGAGGCGCGAAAGUGUGGGGAGCAAACAGGAUUAGAUACCCCGGUAGC